UACGUAGGGUGCAAGCGUUGUCCGGAUUUAUUGGGCGUAAAGAGCUCGUAGGCGGUUUGACACGUCGGAUGUGAAAACUCGGAGCUUAACUCCGAGCCUGCAUUCGAUACGGUCUAACUAGAGUGUGGUAGGGGAAACUGGAAUUCCUGGUGUAGCGGUGAAAUGCGCAGAUAUCAGGAGGAACACCAAUGGCGAAGGCAGGUUUCUGGGCCACCACUGACGCUGAGGAGCGAAAGCGUGGGGAGCGAACAGG
RNAcentral lists this ribosomal RNA (253 nucleotides) under uncultured bacterium. RNAcentral's name for it is "partial 16S ribosomal RNA". It matches the Rfam family "Bacterial small subunit ribosomal RNA", at positions 524 to 776 of the family's 1533-position model. The record is from RNAcentral.